UACGUAGGGCGGCAAGCGUUGUCCGGAAUUAUUGGGCGUAAAGAGCUCGUAGGCGGCUCGUCGCGUCGACCGUGAAACCCGCGGCUUAACUGCGGGCUUGCGGUUGAUACGGGCGGGCUAGAGUUCGGUAGGGGAGAACUGGAAUUCCUGGUGUGAGCGGUGGAAAUGACGCAGAUAUCGGGAGGAACACCGGUGGCGAAGGCGGUUCUCUGGCCUUACCUGACGCUGAGGAGCGAAGCGUGGGAGCGAACAGG
RNAcentral lists this ribosomal RNA (254 nucleotides) under uncultured bacterium. Its description in RNAcentral is "partial 16S ribosomal RNA". It matches the Rfam family "Bacterial small subunit ribosomal RNA", at positions 524 to 776 of the family's 1533-position model. The record is from RNAcentral.